RNAcentral lists this long non-coding RNA (619 nucleotides) under Homo sapiens (human). Its description in RNAcentral is "non-protein coding lnc-SUMO1-2:2". The record is from RNAcentral. Lineage: Eukaryota; Metazoa; Chordata; Mammalia; Primates; Hominidae.
UAUCAUUCUCAUCAAGGCAUCAGCGUGGCACAUUAGACCUCUUCCAAGCCAUUCCACUGGAACUUCUCUCUCCAAAUGCUCCAGCAAGAGUAAACUUGUUAUGCAAACAUUGGAUCAUUGUCUCUGAGCUACAGAAGCACCUCUGUGUCGGUGAAAGGGGAGAAACUGGCUGACUUGCGUCUGUUUUUAAUGAUGUCGCUGCUGCUGGGAAAAUUUGGAAGCUGCAGAGCCAAGAACAUCAGAGGUGGGAUGAUGAUGCUUGUGGCUAUGAGACAGGAUUUCAAGGAUCCUGAUGAAACGUCUGCUGGCCUGAAUCUGUCUGAAUGCUGAAAAGGACUUUGUGUUACUCUAACUGAAAGGAAAACAUAAAAUGAUGAUAAUGUAGCCCUUUAUGGUUUUCAGAUCCCUUUCACAUACAUUAUCUCAUUUAAGCUUUGUGACAAUGGUGUGCAGCAGAUAGGGCUAAGAGUACAGUCAAUCUCAUUUUAGAGAUGAAGAAAUAGAGUUCUGAGAGUUUCAUACCUUCCCCGGGUCCAAGAAAUUAUUCCCAAAGCUGCAACUGGGUUUCUAGACAUGCUACCAGCACCUUCCCCAAACCCAAGGGAGCGUUCUGCCUACC